CAUUGUCAGCCAUAAAUUCCCAUCUCUAGCUACAUUUAACACUCUUUUUCUGAGGUGUGAAACAAGCAUUAAAGGAUCCCCACUCUCUUUCCUCCCAGGAGUGGUUCUGAAUUUAGGAGGAGAAUCAACAUCAGCCAAACUGUACCAGAAGAGCCUAGUGAAGAACUGGGUGGUGAGGAGGUCAAUGAAGAGUGUGAGGACCUGGACACUGAUACUUUCCUGUCAAAAGGAUCUAAAAUGGAGCUUUGCAGAGCCUGGUUCUCAAUGCCCACCUACUACUGGGUUUUGUUGUGGCUGUUUUUCCUGGGAAUUGCUUGCCUCGUUUUGAUCCGGAUCCUGGAGUUGCAGAAACAAUACCCAUUUACAACCUCGGACUCUUAGGCACAGGAGAAGCAGAUGAACUAUGCCAGAACCACAAGAUAGUUUACAUAUGAACAAUAAGAAUAAGUAAAAAGAUGUUCUCAAGCAUGUGUGAAACCAAAACAAUAUUGGCUAGGAUGUGAUGCUGAUGGUUGAUUGUUAUGAAAAGAGCUGGAGAAUCCUGUAGAUAGCUCAACACAUCCUCUGAAUCCAAGAAGGUAUCAACUGCCAUUUUAUUGAUGGUUUCAGUGUAAGUCCAGUUAGCACAUUUGCUGAGAGAUGUCUAAUUGGGAUAACGCUUGCAGUUCUGCAGAAUAGUAACACCAAGAUAUUUCCAGUGCAUCGGAAGGUUAGUUAUUUGUGCGGACUGUAGCUCCUAGAGUCCCCAAACACAUAAAUCCAUGGAGGAUUCUGGCGGUUGUGUUCUAAAAAAAUAACUUCCAAGUGCUGGCUAUUUUUCCAAUCUUUUGAAGUUAAAUACAGUGGGUUCUUGGUCUCUGCUGAGGCUUUGUUCUAGAACCCCUCAUGGAUACCAGAAUCCAUGGAUGCUCCAGCCGCAUUAUAUGCAAUGGCAUAGUAAAAUGAUGUCCUUUAUAUAAAAUGGCAAAAUCAAAAUUUGCUUUUUGGAAUCCGUAAAAAUAUUUUGAAGCCAUGGAUGGUGGAAUCCAUGGAUAUGGAAUCCAUAAAUACAGAGGGCUGACUAUUCUUCCACGUCUCUCUAAAAGAGCAGCAAUUCCAUUUCCAUAUGGGUGAAUUUAGCACAUUCAAGGCUUUCUCUGCAGUGCAGUCUUAGGCUUCUCUACUUGGAGUUCUUUUCUAUCUGGCCGCGCAUUUCAACUACUGCUCAAUUUGCAAGCAAAUCCCAUCUUUGUAAGGUUAUUAGUGGUUACAAUGUCCUUUGUCAAAAAGGCUGUUCUCAGGUUUUACCAGUGUUAACGUUAUUUGUAUUGCAACGGCAUGGUUGAAAUAUAUGAUUGCACACA
Anolis sagrei ordinatus is the source of this 1343-nucleotide non-coding RNA. Lineage: Eukaryota; Metazoa; Chordata; Lepidosauria; Squamata; Anolidae. The record is from RefSeq and is a predicted model, not a curated record.